RNAcentral lists this ribosomal RNA (433 nucleotides) under uncultured bacterium. RNAcentral describes it as "partial 16S ribosomal RNA". It matches the Rfam family "Bacterial small subunit ribosomal RNA", at positions 29 to 507 of the family's 1533-position model. The record is from RNAcentral.
AACGAACGCUGGCGGCAUGCCUAACACAUGCAAGUCGAACGAGACCUUCGGGUCUAGUGGCGCACGGGUGCGUAACGCGUGGGAAUCUGCCCUUGGGUUCGGAAUAACAGUUGGAAACGACUGCUAAUGCCGGAUGAUGACGUAAGUCCAAAGAUUUAUCGCCCAAGGAUGAGCCCGCGUAGGAUUAGCUAGUUGGUGAGGUAAAGGCUCACCAAGGCGACGAUCCUUAGCUGGUCUGAGAGGAUGAUCAGCCACACUGGGACUGAGACACGGCCCAGACUCCUACGGGAGGCAGCAGUGGGGAAUAUUGGACAAUGGGCGAAAGCCUGAUCCAGCAAUGCCGCGUGAGUGAUGAAGGCCUUAGGGUUGUAAAGCUCUUUUACCCGGGAUGAUAAUGACAGUACCGGGAGAAUAAGCUCCGGCUAACUCCGUG